Molecule: ribosomal RNA, 487 nt
Filed under: uncultured bacterium
Lineage: Bacteria
Description: partial 16S ribosomal RNA
Rfam family: Bacterial small subunit ribosomal RNA
Source: RNAcentral
GAUGAACGCUAGCGAUAGGCUUAACACAUGCAAGUCGAGGGGCAGCACAAGGUAGCUUGCUAUCUGGGUGGCGACCGGCGCACGGGUGCGUAACGCGUAUGCAACUUGCCCUAUACAGGAGGAUAACCCGUCGAAAGACGGACUAAUACUGCGUAUGCUCACAACUUGGCAUCAAGUGGUGAGGAAAGAAAUUCGGUAUAGGAUAGGCAUGCGUCCCAUUAGCUUGUUGGUGAGGUAACGGCUCACCAAGGCAACGAUGGGUAGGGGAACUGAGAGGUUUAUCCCCCACACUGGUACUGAGACACGGACCAGACUCCUACGGGAGGCAGCAGUGAGGAAGAUUGGUCAAUGGGCGCGAGCCUGAACCAGCCAAGUCGCGUGAAGGAUGACUGUCUUAUGGAUUGUAAACUUCUUUUAUACGGGAAUAACAAGAGUAACGUGUGACUCCCUGCAUGUACCGUAUGAAUAAGCAUCGGCUAACUCCGUG